AAGAUAUUAACUUGCAACAUAUGUGCUACGACUUGCAGCAAUGUGCUUGCGUAUGUUAGACACAUGCAAAGUCAUAGUUUUAUGCCCAAUGCAUCGUUUAAGUGUGCUUUCCCUGAAUGAGUAUAUCUGUAUUUGAGGAAAAAAAGCUAUGAACCAUAAUGCUCAGUCUACCCUUCCUGUGGAUGAAGAUGAGGAGUUGACUCUUCAUAUCAUCCAGCUGUUGAUGGUCUAUUUUGAUGAAAGAAGAGGUGCACUGAUAUUCCUUGUAGAUAUGUCUGCCACUGCAGGCGAUGUGGACCCUCCCGACCAGUCCACGACUGAUACUGCUAGUUGCUGGUGACAAAGUCACAGUAAAACGUUGAUGAUCAGCAUGGAAGGUGAUGUCAUCCGCGAAGUCGUCCAACCUAGCUUCAUCGAAGGGCUUGCUGCCCUUCUUGCCACCUACUACUGUAUGUGUUCAACUUGGAAUACCAAGAGGAAGGUGCUCGGACAUUGGAAUUUGUUCAAAGGCGAUUCAUUGGCAUUAACCCUGAGAGGGGAACAAAGGCUAGUCAGGGAAAGGUGGUGUCCAAGAAGACCGGGAAGCUGGUCCAGAAAAAGGCAGCAACUGUAAAUCCUCACGUAGCCACCCUUAUAAAAAUUCUCACAGACUUUGGUGGGGCUUUAUGUUGCCCGACCACUGAACACUGGGUAUGUCAUGUUCAGUUAGUUUAGUCAAUUGUGCAGUUCAGUUUUGUUUUACAAAUUUUUCUAUUGCACAUGAUCCCAACUUGUUUUGUUGUAAAUGUUAAAAAUGUUCUUUGAAAAUGUGUGUGCCCUCUCUGAUGGUAAAGCAGAGCCACUAUGUAUGGAGUUGUGUGUGGGGGGCAUGUAUACAUCAUAUCCAAAUGGACAUUUUCAUUUUGAUCGUUUUGAUUGUUAUCUGGAUGUAGGAACCACGUUCUCUGAUGCCAUCGUUUGUUCCGAUUGCAGGAGUUGCUUAACAUUGUUUUAAAUGUUAAAAUGUUAAUCUAAAAUGUGUGUCCUCUCUCGGAUCGUCCAACAGAGGCACUAUGUUUGGGGGUGGGUGUGUCCUGGUGGGAGGAUGUCUAAAUGGACAUUUUAAUUUUGAUUAUCUAGUUCUAUGGACUGUUCUGAUGCUAAAGUUGCUUAACAUUGUUCUAAAUGUUAAAAUGCUUCACUGAAAAAAAGAAGAAUGCACUAAAUGUACAUUGAAUGUGUUUGAUGCGCUUAAAAAUAAUUGGUUGGUUAAAGCAUAAACUUGCAAGGCCAUUUCUCCAGUCAUUUUUAUGCCAGCAGAUUGCAGGGGUUUUGAUUUUGAAAAAUUAAAAGUUCAACUCAUUAACUUCUUGUGGCAUUUUACUGUAAAGCUCAGUCUAUAGUGCUUAAGAUUAUUUUACUGUAAUUAACUGUCAUGCAUUUUACAGUAGAUACACUAAAAUAACAGUGUAAGGCCGCUAAACAGAUGACAGUAUUAUGCUGUGAAGCGUAUAUUUAAUACAGCACAGUACUGUGAUACCUUUUACAGUAAUAUACUGUAGUGAUAAAUCACAGUAUGUGUGCUGUAGAAAAACAGUUUUAUACUGGAACCAUUAGCUGCCAGUAGGUUACUGUAAUUAAACGGUGAAAUUUCUUACAGUGCAGUCUGUUGUGGCCAAUACCCUGUACUUUGUUGUUGGGGGAGCGGGCUUCACAGUGGCAGAGGGGUUAGUGCGUCUGCCUCACAAUACGAAGGUCCUGAGUAGUCUCGGGAUCUUUCUGUGUGGAGUUUGCAUGUUCUCCCCGUGAAUGCUUGGGUUCCCUCCGGGUACUCCGGCUUCCUCCCACUUCCAAAGAGAUGCACCUGGGGAUAGGUUGAUUGGCAACACUAAAUUGGCUCUAGUGUGUAAAUGUGAGUGUGACUGUUGUCUGUCUAUCUGUGUAGGCCCUGCGAUGAGGUGGCGACUUGUCCAGGGUGUACAUCACCUUCCGCCCGAUUUUAGCUGAGAUAGGCAUCAGCGCCCGCCGUGACCCCAAUGGGAAUAAGCGGUACAAAAUGGAUGGAUGUAUGUUGGGGGAGCAGCACCAGCAAAAGGGACUUA
Nerophis ophidion (straightnose pipefish) is the source of this 2081-nucleotide long non-coding RNA. RefSeq lists it as uncharacterized. The record is from RefSeq and is a predicted model, not a curated record. The transcript has 4 exons. NCBI's taxonomy places the organism in Eukaryota, Metazoa, Chordata, Actinopteri, Syngnathiformes, Syngnathidae.